ACACGUAAGGUGCGAGCGUUGUUCGGAAUUAUUGGGCGUAAAGCGCACGUAGGCGGACUGGAAAGUUGGGGGUGAAAUCCCGGGGCUCAACCCCGGAACUGCCUCCAAAACUUCCAAUCUAGAGAUCGAGAGAGGUGAGUGGAAUUCCAAGUGUAGAGGUGAAAUUCGUAGAUAUUUGGAGGAACACCAGUGGCGAAGGCGGCUCACUGGCUCGAUACUGACACUGAGGUGCGAAAGCGUGGGGAGCAAACAGGAUUAGAAACCCCAGUAGUCC
RNAcentral lists this ribosomal RNA (274 nucleotides) under uncultured bacterium. Its description in RNAcentral is "partial 16S ribosomal RNA". It matches the Rfam family "Bacterial small subunit ribosomal RNA", at positions 523 to 796 of the family's 1533-position model. The record is from RNAcentral.